UACAGAGGGUGCGAGCGUUAAUCGGAAUUACUGGGCGUAAAGGGUGCGUAGGUGGAUGAUUAAGUGAGAUGUGAAAUCCCCGGGCUUAACCUGGGAACUGCAUCUUAUACUGGUCAUCUGGAGUGUGGUAGAGGGUAGUGGAAUUUCCGGUGUAGCGGUGAAAUGCGUAGAUAUCGGAAGGAACACCAGUGGCGAAGGCGGCUACCUGGACUAACACUGACACUGAGGCACGAGAGCGUGGGGAGCAAACAGG
RNAcentral lists this ribosomal RNA (253 nucleotides) under uncultured bacterium. Its description in RNAcentral is "partial 16S ribosomal RNA". It matches the Rfam family "Bacterial small subunit ribosomal RNA", at positions 524 to 776 of the family's 1533-position model. The record is from RNAcentral.